Molecule: ribosomal RNA, 240 nt
Filed under: Helvella sp. 'monilifera'
Lineage: Eukaryota; Fungi; Ascomycota; Pezizomycetes; Pezizales; Helvellaceae
Description: partial large subunit ribosomal RNA
Rfam family: Eukaryotic large subunit ribosomal RNA
Source: RNAcentral
GGAGCUCAAAUUUGAAAUCUGGGGCCCUCGGCCUCCGAGUUGUAAUUUGGAGAGGCAUCUUCGGGGGGGAGCGCCGGCCAAUGUUCCUUGGAACAGGACGUCGCAGAGGGUGAGAAUCCCGUGCCAGGCCGGCUGCCUCCUCCCGGGUGAAGGGCCUUCGACGAGUCGAGUUGUUUGGGAAUGCAGCUCCAAGUGGGUGGUAAAUUUCAUCUAAAGCUAAAUACCGGCGGGAGACCGAUA